Ictalurus punctatus (channel catfish) is the source of this 1011-nucleotide long non-coding RNA. The record is from Ensembl. NCBI's taxonomy places the organism in Eukaryota, Metazoa, Chordata, Actinopteri, Siluriformes, Ictaluridae.
GUCAGUUAGUAAGGGUCUUGGUCUUGAGUGUCAAAGGUCUUGGUCUUGGAUUUGAUGGUUAAGGAUCUUGGUCUUGUCUUGAUGUUGGUUGAUACGGGUCUUUGUCUUGUUUUGAUGUGGGCUGGUAAGGGACUUUUGUUGCUUUGGUGUAGGUUCAUAUGGCCAUUAGUCUUGUAUUGUUGGUUGGUAAGGACCUUUUCUUGUCUUGGUUGUUGUGGGUUUUGGUCUCAUUUUGUUGUCAGUUGGCAAGGGUCUUGUUUUGGUGUUGGUUAGUAUGGGCCUUGAUCUUGUUUUUGGUGUUAGUUGGUAAAGAUCUUGUCUUGUAUUGGUUGUUGAGGGUCUUGAUCUUGGUCUGGUGUAGGCUGGUAUGGGACUUGUUUUGGUGUCAGUUGGUAAGGUCAUUGGUCUUGUUUUGGUGUCAGGUGGUAUGGGUAUUGGUCUUGUUUUGGUGUCAGUUGGUAAGGGUAUUGGUCUUGUUUUGGUGUCAGUUGGUAAGGGUAUUGGUCUUGUUUUGGUGUCAGUUGGUAAGGGUAUUGGUCUUGUUUUGGUGUCAGUUGGUAUGGGUAUUGGUCUUGUUUUGGUGUCAGUUGGUAAGGGUAUUGGUCUUGUUUUGGUGUCAGUUGGUAUGGGUAUUGGUCUUGCUUUGGUGUCAGUUGGUAAGGGUAUUGGUCUUGUUUUGGUGUCAGUUGGUAUGGGUAUUGGUCUUGUUUUGGUGUCAGUUGGUAUGGGUAUUGGUCUUGCUUUGGUGUCAGUUGGUAAAGGUCUUGUUCUCAAAUUCAAAUUGUAUUGGUCACAUAGACAUACGACGUGCAGUAAAAUGCGUUGUACGACUGUCAGCGAUGGUCUUGACCAUUUAAGGUCUUGGGUCUUCUCCAUACUAAGAUGGUCAUGAUUACAACACUGCAAUGAAACCUGUCUUGAAGCCUUCUGGGUCUUGUUAUACACUGUUCUUCUUUUCAUCCAAUCCUAUAAUUAAAUUAUGUCCUCCACUCUCCUCUUCAUUUAUUCUCC